RNAcentral lists this unclassified non-coding RNA (323 nucleotides) under soil metagenome. RNAcentral's name for it is "partial contains 5.8S ribosomal RNA, internal transcribed spacer 2, and large subunit ribosomal RNA". The stretch from base 1 to 120 matches the Rfam family "5.8S ribosomal RNA", at positions 35 to 154 of the family's 154-position model. The record is from RNAcentral.
GAUGAAGAACGUAGCGAAAUGCGAUAAGUAAUGCGAAUUGCAGAAUUCAGUGAGUCAUCGAAUCUUUGAACGCACAUUGCGCCCUGUGGUAUUCCGCAGGGCAUGCCUGUUCGAGCGUCAUUUCAACUCUCAAGCUCUGCUUGGUGUUGGGCCCUGCCCGCUGCGGCCGGCCCUAAAGACAGUGGCGGUGCCGCCUGGCCCUGAGCGUAGUACAUCUCUCGCUCCAGUGCCCGGUGGUAGCCUGCCAGAACCCCAACUCUCGUGGUUGACCUCGGAUCAGGUAGGGAUACCCGCUGAACUUAAGCAUAUCAAUAAGCGGAGGA